RNAcentral lists this ribosomal RNA (640 nucleotides) under Glomeromycotina sp. RNAcentral describes it as "eukaryotic LSU rRNA". It matches the Rfam family "Eukaryotic large subunit ribosomal RNA", at positions 78 to 630 of the family's 3401-position model. The record is from RNAcentral. Lineage: Eukaryota; Fungi; Glomeromycota.
CCUUAUACGGCGAGUGACUGGGAAGAGCUCAAAUUUUAAAUCACCUAGGUUACCUGGGCGAGUUGUAAUUUGAAGAAAGUGUUUUGAUGCUCUGGUUUUGUCUAAAUCCUUUGGGAUAAGGUAUCAUAGAGGGUGAGAAUCCCGUUCAUGAUUUAAACCCUGGGUGUCACCUAAUUCACUUUCUAAGAGUCGAGUUGUUUGGGAUUGCAGCUCAAAAUGGGUGGUAAAUUUCACCUAAGGCUAAAUAUAUGCAAGAGACCGAUAGCGAACAAGUACCGUGAGGGAAAGAUGAAAAGAACUUUGAAAAGAGAGUUAAAUAGUACGUGAAAUUGUUGAAAGGGAAACGAUUGAAGUCAGUCAUGCUUGCAGGGAAUCAGCAAUGGUGGUUUAUUCUUCCUUGUGCACUUUCUUGCUUGGCAGGUUAGCAUCAAUUUCGAUUGUCAUUAAAGAAUUGGGGGAAUGUGGCUUCUUCGGGAGUGUUAUAGACCCUGGUAGAUGUGGCGAUCGGGAUUGAGGAUUGCAGCGAAUGCUUUUUGGCUAGUCACCUGGCUUCUGAUAGUCGCCUUGCUUCCGAUAGCUUGCUAAUGGUGGUGAGACCUCGAUUGUCUAGAAGUUAGAGGUGAUCAUAAAUUCGCUAAGG